ACGAACGCUGGCGGCGUGCCUAAUACAUGCAAGUAGAACGCUGAAGAGAGGAGCUUGCUCUUCUUGGAUGAGUUGCGAACGGGUGAGUAACGCGUAGGUAACCUGCCUUGUAGCGGGGGAUAACUAUUGGAAACGAUAGCUAAUACCGCAUAACAAUGGAUGACACAUGUCAUUUAUUUGAAAGGGGCAAUUGCUCCACUACAAGAUGGACCUGCGUUGUAUUAGCUAGUAGGUGAGGUAAUGGCUCACCUAGGCGACGAUACAUAGCCGACCUGAGAGGGUGAUCGGCCACACUGGGACUGAGACACGGCCCAGACUCCUACGGGAGGCAGCAGUAGGGAAUCUUCGGCAAUGGGGGCAACCCUGACCGAGCAACGCCGCGUGAGUGAAGAAGGUUUUCGGAUCGUAAAGCUCUGUUGUAAGUCAAGAACGGGUGUGAGAGUGGAAAGUUCACACUGCGACGGUAGCUUACCAGAAAGGGACGGCUAACUACGUG
Molecule: ribosomal RNA, 496 nt
Filed under: uncultured Streptococcus sp.
Lineage: Bacteria; Bacillati; Bacillota; Bacilli; Lactobacillales; Streptococcaceae
Description: bacterial SSU rRNA
Rfam family: Bacterial small subunit ribosomal RNA
Source: RNAcentral